AGUUAAGAAAAACAAACAAUACUAAAAUUAUACUUUAUUAAAUUUUCUUACAUAUUUAUAUAUAUACUAGAUUUUAACCCGCGGUAUACCGCGGGACGAUUUAUUUUUUAAAAGUAAUAUAUAUUAAAACUUGCAAAUUUUAUUUUUAUAAAAUAUUUAUAUUUUACAGUUUAUAAUUGUUAUUAAGUAACGGUAUACCACGAAUCCAUGAGAUAAUUGUAAAAAAACUGAAGUUUUAACCCCUAUUAAAACAGCAUAUUAAUAAUAUUUUAAAAUUUAAUAAAUAUUGAUUCAAAUACAUCCACCAUAUAACCUAAUUCCAAAAUAGAACUCGUUCUGUAAUUUUUUUACCGUCCAUGAUUUUUUUUUAAAAUAGUAAUUUUUAAAAUUUAAGAAUAAUUUUUUAUAUAGAAAAGUUUUGCAAAUUGUAUCAUUCUCUAAUACAUUUAUAUCUAUAGUUUAAUUUUAUAUAUAGUAACAUUAUGCAUACCACAUAACAUUUUUGGUUUUAUAUAAUCUUUUCUAAAUUAGGAUGAUUUGAUAUGUUUAAUAUUAGUGGUCUUAAAAAAUAAUAAAUUAAAGAUUUAACCCGUAUUAAAACGGUGGAUUAAUUAUAUUUUACUUUUUUAUUAAUGUUGAUUCAAAAACCCGUCCCUCCAAAUCCGUCUUGUCAAAAAGCUAUUUAUUUUGUUAAUAUUAAUUUUAUUAAUAUUUAUUUUAUUAAUGAUAUGAUUCUGAAUUAGAAUCUAAACAUUUUAGCUAAUAACAUAGGAGUGCACCAUAUUUAUUUAAUAGGAGAAUGUCCAUAUGACCCGAAUGCACUUUUAUCCAAAUCCACCAAAAAAGUCUUGCAAAAAUACUAUAGAGAUAAGAAACGAUAGUCGGUUUUGAUAGGUAUAAGAUUAGCAAAUAUAUUAGUUAGCAUAAAUUAGUUAAAGAAUACAAAUUGAAAAGGUAUAUUACACUUUAUUCGAAUAUAGUAUCAAAACUUAUAUAACACAGAGAUUUGAUAAAAUUUUAAUUGAUGAAUACUUUUUUUGUGCUAAUUUUUAUGUGAUUAAGAUUUAAUUGAUUUCGUAUAUAAAAUAUUAAAUUGACUUAUUUGUUUAUAAUUUGGUAACAGAUAGAUAUUUGAAUAUUCAAUAUAUUUUGCUUCUAAUCUUUGAUGAUCCGUCUUUAGAUCCAAUAAGCCCUAUAAUCUAGAUAUUAACUUGCGGUAUAUAUUUUAGUUAAACUAAAAUUUUUUAUUGUAAAGAUGAUUUAAAAAUAUUUGAUAUUAUUUUAUUUGAUUUUAAAUGUAUAGUAAACUGUGAGUUGUAUAUGUUUUGUUGAUAUUAUCUAUAUUGUUUAGUGUUUAAGAUUAUACACUUGUAGUUUGAUUGUUAAUUUAAGAGUUUCAUCUGUAGUAUACCAUCUUGUAUUAAUAUCGAUCUAAACAUGCAAUUCUAGGAUUUCCAACUUGUAUUAAAAAUUAAAUCACAUCUAAUAUGUUAUUAAUUAUUGUAGUAUAUAAGAUUAUAAAUUUUCAAUAUAAUAUGUAUGAAAUUGAAUAUAAAUAUUUCAAAUUAUGACCCGUUACUUAGUAGAAAGUUUUCUUAAAUCUAUUUUUUAUCCGUUAUAAUAUUUUUUUAUGUAUUGAACAGUUUAUAUUUGUUUUUA
This 1659-nucleotide small RNA is filed under the name Arabidopsis thaliana (thale cress). RNAcentral describes it as "ATSL175650". Lineage: Eukaryota; Viridiplantae; Streptophyta; Magnoliopsida; Brassicales; Brassicaceae. The record is from RNAcentral.